UACAGAGGUGGCAAGCGUUGUUCGGAAUUACUGGGCGUAAAGGGCGCGUAGGCGGUCUUCUAAGUCAGACGUGAAAUCCCCCGGCUUAACCUGGGAACUGCGUCUGAUACUGGAUGGCUUGAGUAUGGGAGAGGGAUGUAGAAUUCCAGGUGUAGCGGUGAAAUGCGUAGAUAUCUGGAGGAAUACCGGUGGCGAAGGCGGCAUCCUGGACCAUUACUGACGCUGAGGCGCGAAAGCUAGGGGAGCAAACGGG
Molecule: ribosomal RNA, 253 nt
Filed under: uncultured bacterium
Lineage: Bacteria
Description: partial 16S ribosomal RNA
Rfam family: Bacterial small subunit ribosomal RNA
Source: RNAcentral